UAAAAAUUUCGAAGAAGUCCGUGACAAAGUUCCCGCAAAGUUCCAGAUUUAAACAGACUUAUUUGUUUUCGAUAACCGUCAUACUCUUUAGCUGAUUUGGGCCCAGAGCCAGCCAUCAUAACCACUAUCAAUAUGCAAGUUUGGCUUGUGCUGGUAUUGAGCAGCAUGUCACCAGAAGUCUCAUCGCUUGGAUAAACAGCAUUCCUCUUGAUUGGAGACACUACUGAUGUCGGCCGAGUUAUGGAUCUCCCUUUUUCCCCUUUUUUUAAAUGUCAACGUGUACACCCAUGUGAGUGUGGGUGUAUUCACGAGGACACCCUUUUACCCUAUCCCGUCUGCUGGUGUAAUAUAACUCUUCAGCGG
Daphnia pulex (common water flea) is the source of this 363-nucleotide long non-coding RNA. RefSeq lists it as uncharacterized. The record is from RefSeq and is a predicted model, not a curated record. NCBI's taxonomy places the organism in Eukaryota, Metazoa, Arthropoda, Branchiopoda, Diplostraca, Daphniidae. The transcript has 3 exons.